This 445-nucleotide ribosomal RNA is filed under the name uncultured soil bacterium. RNAcentral describes it as "bacterial SSU rRNA". It matches the Rfam family "Bacterial small subunit ribosomal RNA", at positions 26 to 518 of the family's 1533-position model. The record is from RNAcentral.
AGAACGAACGCUGGCGGCAUGCCUAAUACAUGCAAGUCGAACGAACUCUUCGGAGUUAGUGGCGCACGGGUGCGUAACGCGUGGGAAUCUGCCCUUGGGUUCGGAAUAACAGUUGGAAACGACUGCUAAUACCGGAUGAUGACGUAAGUCCAAAGAUUUAUCGCCCAGGGAUGAGCCCGCGUAGGAUUAGCUAGUUGGUGAGGUAAAGGCUCACCAAGGCGACGAUCCUUAGCUGGUCUGAGAGGAUGAUCAGCCACACUGGGACUGAGACACGGCCCAGACUCCUACGGGAGGCAGCAGUGGGGAAUAUUGGACAAUGGGCGAAAGCCUGAUCAGCAAUGCCGCGUGAGUGAUGAAGGCCUUAGGGUUGUAAAGCUCUUUACCCGGGAUGAUAAUGACAGUACCGGAGAAUAAGCUCCGGCUAACUCCGUGCCAGCAAGCCCGC